UCUUGAUGCAAUCAAACAGAUUCAGGUAAUUUCGUUUAGGUUCCCGUCCAGGAGACAUUAAAUCUUUAGUUGGCAGUUGCCAGAACAGUAAUUUAUCACAGUAGCUAUUCCCAUACAUGAUCAAACUAUUAAGAUAUCAGCUCCUGGCACGUUCAUGUUGCUUUGUAAAUAAGCUAUCCAGUACAUAGAAACAUGUACACAGAACAAGUUCCUGGAUUAUCUCAUAGUUGCUGGGAGUACUGGAUGCAUUUCAGGCUUUCUUCAUAUGAAAUAUCAAACAUCGAGAAAUUAUCUCAAUUCUACAAAUUCUUAUCACAAGCGUAUCGUUUAACCGAAGCUGAAAGCAUCUAGAAUUGUCUCUGCCACCCAAGUAGGUUAUUACCUGAGGCCAUUGCUGAAACCCAAAUGAUUUUGUUUUGCCUGCAUGAGCCAUGAGCGAGGCAUGUGUUGCCCAAUAAGAUAGUCAUUUUG
RNAcentral lists this unclassified non-coding RNA (471 nucleotides) under Hevea brasiliensis (rubber tree). Lineage: Eukaryota; Viridiplantae; Streptophyta; Magnoliopsida; Malpighiales; Euphorbiaceae. The record is from RNAcentral.